UUGAACGCUGGCGGCAUGCCUUACACAUGCAAGUCGAACGGCAGCGCGGACUUCGGUCUGGCGGCGAGUGGCGAACGGGUGAGUAAUACAUCGGAACGUACCCUGUUGUGGGGGAUAACUAGUCGAAAGAUUAGCUAAUACCGCAUACGACCUGAGGGUGAAAGUGGGGGACCGGAAACGGCCUCAUGCAGCAGGAGCGGCCGAUGUCUGAUUAGCUAGUUGGUGGGGUAAAGGCCCACCAAGGCGACGAUCAGUAGCUGGUCUGAGAGGACGAUCAGCCACACUGGGACUGAGACACGGCCCAGACUCCUACGGGAGGCAGCAGUGGGGAAUUUUGGGCAAUGGGGGCAACCCUGAUCCAGCAAUGCCGCGUGUGUGAAGAAGGCCUUCGGGUUGUAAAGCACUUUUGUCCGGAAAGAAAUCGCGCUGGUUAAUACCUGGCGUGGAUGACGGUACCGGAAGAAUAAGCACCGGCUAACUACGUG
Molecule: ribosomal RNA, 485 nt
Filed under: uncultured bacterium
Lineage: Bacteria
Description: partial 16S ribosomal RNA
Rfam family: Bacterial small subunit ribosomal RNA
Source: RNAcentral